UGAUUUCCAAGGAACGGAUGAGUACGAGGACUUCACUUAGUAAAGAGAGCCGGAGUAGCUGUGAACCGGUCUAGGUGAGACUCAGAAUAUGGUCCGGGAGGAAUUGUUCUCGAGCGCCGAGGGUAUCUAUGGAUAUUCUACGUAAGGGAGCAACGUGAGCCAGCGUUAAUGGACAGUUCUCGUUUAAUACGGGACUGAUGGAGCCUGUCACUUGCAAAGGUACAGGAAAAUUGGGUGGUAACACGUGAGAUAACUCUCGUCCCAUAU
This 267-nucleotide non-coding RNA is filed under the name Paenibacillus sp. Its description in RNAcentral is "T-box sequence". It matches the Rfam family "T-box leader". Rfam says of the family: Uncharged tRNA acts as the effector for transcription antitermination of genes in the T-box leader family. T-boxes are found upstream of many aminoacyl-tRNA synthetase genes and some amino acid biosynthetic genes usually in Gram-positive bacteria. The anticodon of a specific tRNA base pairs to a specifier sequence within the T-box motif, and the NCCA acceptor tail of the tRNA base pairs to a conserved bulge in the T-box antiterminator hairpin. The record is from RNAcentral. Lineage: Bacteria; Bacillati; Bacillota; Bacilli; Caryophanales; Paenibacillaceae.